ACCAUGUUGAAUGUUCCUUUCUAGAACAGAGUAAAACUGUCAACAUACACUUCAAUGUCCACCUGAAACUUCUUGACGUUUUGUGAUAUGUUGUUAAAAGUGACUGGCUGCUGAGACAUUGUGUUCGAAAUGACAUUGCGAAUAAAUGAUCCUAAUGAGGAAAAUUUUGAGGACUAUGGUGCUGUUUGACUGGUCUAGUAUUCCGAAAGGUGUGCAGCAGCCAUAGGCUUUAAAAAUCGCUCAGCGUCGGCGGCCACAAACUGAAGCCUUGCUGCUAACCGAGGGCCGCCUGUACUGGAAACAGUUGGGUUCAGCACAGCAGCCAGACCAGAUCUCGACAGCACCAGGUACUGGUUACCUGUUGGCCACUGCUGGUCGAGGAUGAGAACGCCAGUUGGUUCUACAGCAGUUUGGAAUAUUUGCUCGGAGUAGCAGUGUCUGCUACCAGUUGGAAUCUUCUGAUGAAGGAUGGAUGGUGGCUGAAACAUGGUCAUCAGUGGAGUUCCCUAUGUGACAGCUGUAAGACUGAUGUGACGUUCAUCUGGUUGGUGCAUCAGUGGUUGGGAUGCAGUUUGAGUUCGUCAGGGGAUCCAUCCUUUAUCAGUGGAGAUAAUAAUUUAUGUAUUGAUUAUGUACACUGCUGGAUUUGGGUGUUUUUCAUAUUUGCUGGGCAAGUGUAUGGCCCAGUUACUUUGUGUAUGAGCUGGCUUACUAUUGUGUUUUGAGCAAGUGUUUGGCUCUGGGUGUUUUCACAAUAUGUUUGACAAGUUUUGUAUCUUGAGCAAGUGUAUGGCUCUAGGUUUUUUCACAUUAGUUUGUGAUGUUGGGCAAGUGUAUGGCCCUGGUAAUUUGUUUUGACAUGCAUAAUUGUUAUGAUUUAUGUUUACUGCUUUCGUGCUGUUACUUCAAUGCUGCUGUUGGGCUGUUAUUUUUGUAAUGCAUUGUUCAUUUUUAUUUUAGCUGAACCCUCAACUCUCCUGUCAAUAUGUAAAUUGCU
Macrobrachium nipponense is the source of this 997-nucleotide long non-coding RNA. RefSeq lists it as uncharacterized. Lineage: Eukaryota; Metazoa; Arthropoda; Malacostraca; Decapoda; Palaemonidae. The record is from RefSeq and is a predicted model, not a curated record. The transcript is spliced from 3 exons.